UUGGGGCAGUAGACCUCUAGUGUGUCGUUCGAGAAAUACAUUGGUCUUCGUUAAAUAGAGAUGGAGAUACGACCGGCACACCCGAUAUCCGAUAGUGGACUGCAGUUGCAGCGUAAGCGCGCGUGGAUAUGAUACAGAUAAAAAUACAUGAAAUAUGAACAACACAAGUCAACAGACUGACACUAGAGAGAGCUAGAGCUAGACAGCAGAGAGAGUGACAACGAGGGAAGUGUCUAGACCUGUCAAGUUGGUAAAGUGGAGUCAGGCGAUUUUGCAAUGCCAGAGAACGUACAGCAGCUCAUCACUUACUCGGAAAAGUACCUGGAUGAUCACUUGGAGUACAG
Long non-coding RNA from Patiria miniata (bat star), 344 nucleotides. RefSeq lists it as uncharacterized. The transcript is spliced from 2 exons. NCBI's taxonomy places the organism in Eukaryota, Metazoa, Echinodermata, Asteroidea, Valvatida, Asterinidae. The record is from RefSeq and is a predicted model, not a curated record.